This 253-nucleotide ribosomal RNA is filed under the name uncultured bacterium. RNAcentral's name for it is "partial 16S ribosomal RNA". It matches the Rfam family "Bacterial small subunit ribosomal RNA", at positions 524 to 776 of the family's 1533-position model. The record is from RNAcentral.
UACGUAGGGGGCAAGCGUUGUCCGGAUUUAUUGGGCGUAAAGAGCGUGUAGGCGGCCAUACAGGUCCGUUGUGAAAACUGGAGGCUUAACCUCCAGACGUCGAUGGAAACCGUAUGGCUAGAGUCCGGAAGAGGAGAGUGGAAUUCCUGGUGUAGCGGUGAAAUGCGCAGAUAUCAGGAAGAACACCCGUGGCGAAGGCGGCUCUCUGGAACGCAACUGACGCUGAGACGCGAAAGCGUGGGGAGCAAACAGG